CUACGGGUGGCUGCAGGUAAGAAUCUUUUGCAAUGCGCGCAAGCGUGACAAAGCGAGCCAGAGUGCUUUUCAAUUGAAAAGCUUUUGCUAAAUCUAAAAAUUUUGGCGAAUAAGGACUGGGAGAGACUAGUGCCAGCCGCCGCGGUAAUCCUAGCGGUCCGAGUCGCAGCCAUCAUUAUUGGGUCUAAAACAUCCGUAGCUUGCUUAAUAAGUUCCCUGUGAAAUCCGGCAUCUUAAGUGUCGGGCGUGCAAGGAGUACUGCUAAGCUAGAGACUGGAAGACGUAAGAAGUAUGUUCAAAGUAGCGGUAAAAUGUGUUAAUCUUGAGCAGACUCACAACAGCGAAGGCAUCUUACGAGGACAGUUCUGACAGUAAAGGAUGAAGGCUAGGGGCGCGAAGUGGAUUAGAUACCCCCGUAGUC
Molecule: ribosomal RNA, 421 nt
Filed under: uncultured archaeon
Lineage: Archaea
Description: partial 16S ribosomal RNA
Rfam family: Archaeal small subunit ribosomal RNA
Source: RNAcentral